RNAcentral lists this ribosomal RNA (253 nucleotides) under uncultured bacterium. Its description in RNAcentral is "partial 16S ribosomal RNA". It matches the Rfam family "Bacterial small subunit ribosomal RNA", at positions 524 to 776 of the family's 1533-position model. The record is from RNAcentral.
UACGAAGGGGGCUAGCGUUGUUCGGAUUUACUGGGCGUAAAGCGCACGUAGGCGGAUCUUUAAGUCAGGUGUGAAAUCUCGGGGCUCAACCCUGAAACUGCACUUGAUACUGCCUUGCUUGAGUACUGGAGAGGAGAUUGGAAUUUACGGUGUAGCAGUGAAAUGCGUAGAUAUCGUAAGGAAGACCAGUGGCGAAGGCGAAUCUCUGGACAGUUACUGACACUGAGGCACGAAGGCCAGGGGAGCAAACGGG